Molecule: ribosomal RNA, 247 nt
Filed under: uncultured bacterium
Lineage: Bacteria
Description: partial 16S ribosomal RNA
Rfam family: Bacterial small subunit ribosomal RNA
Source: RNAcentral
AUACGGAGGAUCCGGGCGUUAUCCGGAAUUACUGGGUUUAAAGGGUGCGUAGGCGGGGCUUUAAGCCGGCGGUGAAAUGCAGCGGCUCAACCGCUGGAAUGCCGUUGGGACUGGGGCUCUUGGAUACGGUCGGGGCGGGUGGAACUCGUGGUGUAGCGGUGAAAUGCAUAGAUAUCACGAGGAACGCCGGUAGCGAAGGCAGCUCGCCGGGCCGGUAUUGACGCUGAGGCACGAAAGCGUGGGGAUC